CCUACGGGAGGCAGCAGUAGGGAAUCUUCCACAAUGGACGAAAGUCUGAUGGAGCAACGCCGCGUGAGUGAAGAAGGGUUUCGGCUCGUAAAGCUCUGUUGGUAGUGAAGAAAGAUAGAGGUAGUAACUGGCCUUUAUUUGACGGUAAUUACUUAGAAAGUCCCGGCUAACUACGUGCCAGCGGCCUCGGUAAUACGUAGGUGGCAAGCGUUGUCCGGAUUUAUUGGGCGUAAAGCGAGUGCAGGCGGUUCAAUAAGUCUGAUGUGAAAGCCUUCGGCUCAACCGGAGAAUUGCAUCAGAAACUGUUGAACUUGAGUGCAGAAGAGGAGAGUGGAACUCCAUGUGUAGCGGUGGAAUGCGUAGAUAUAAGGAAGAACACCAGUGGCGAAGGCGGCUUUCUGGUCUGCAACUGACGCUGAGGCUCGAAAGCAUGGGUAGCGAACAGGAUUAGAUACCCGUGUAGUC
This 465-nucleotide ribosomal RNA is filed under the name uncultured bacterium. RNAcentral's name for it is "partial 16S ribosomal RNA". It matches the Rfam family "Bacterial small subunit ribosomal RNA", at positions 338 to 795 of the family's 1533-position model. The record is from RNAcentral.